Molecule: non-coding RNA, 4594 nt
Organism: Delphinapterus leucas (beluga whale)
Lineage: Eukaryota; Metazoa; Chordata; Mammalia; Artiodactyla; Monodontidae
Source: RefSeq, a predicted model, not a curated record
GCCGGACGUCCUGGGAGAAGCGGGGGGAGGGCCGGGAAGGACCCGGUUGUCCUGGGAAGAGGGAGGGCCGGGGUGGUUGGUGCGCCCUGGGAGGAGCGAGGGGACGCGGAGGCGGGGCUUCCUGGGAGGAGCGAGAGCACGCGGAGGCGGGGCGUCCCGAGAGGGGCGAGCGCCGGGUGGGCCGGGCUUCCUCGUCCCAGGCCAGCCAGAGAGGAGGGCGCGGGCACAGCGCCACCUGUCCCCGGAGGACGAGGUCGGAGUCCUGAUCCCGGCGGGCCCCUGCUGUUCUAGCCUCCCAGGCCCGCACCGAGCGCCAUGGCCCAGCCACCGCCUGAUGUCAGCGAGGACGACUGUCUCCCGGAGUACCGCCACCUCUUCUGUCCGGACUUGCUUCGGGACAAGGUAGCCUUCAUCACAGGCGGUGGCUCUGGAAUUGGGUUCCGGAUUGCUGAGAUUUUCAUGCGGCACGGCUGCCACACAGUCAUCGCCAGCAGAAGUCUUCCCAGAGUGUCGAUGGCUGCCAGAAAGCUGGCUGCUGCCACUGGCCAGAAGUGCCUCCCUUUAUCUCUGGACGUCCGAGCUCCCCUGGCCAUCAUGGCAGCCGUGGAGCAGGCUCUGAAGGAGUUCGGGAAGAUCGACAUUCUCAUUAACUGUGCAGCCGGGAACUUCCUGUGCCCUGCCAGUGCCUUGUCCUCCAACGCCUUCAAGACCGUGAUGGACAUCGACACCUUGGGCACCUUCAACGUGUCUCGCGUACUCUACGAGAAGUUCUUCCAUGGCCAUGGAGGGGUGAUCGUGAACAUCACUGCAACCCUGGGUACCCGCGGGCAGGUGCUCCAAGUGCAUGCAGGCUCUGCCAAGGCGGCCGUGGAUGCGAUGACACGGCACCUGGCUGUGGAGUGGGGCCCCCAGAACAUCCGCGUCAACAGCCUUGCCCCUGGCCCCAUCAGCGGCACAGAGGGCUUCCGGCGGCUGGGUGGCCCACAGGCCAGCAUGAGGGCAAAGUUCCUGGCAAGCCCCCUGCAGAGGCUGGGGAACAAGACGGAGAUCGCCCACAGCGCCCUCUUCCUGGCCAGCCCUUUGGCAUCCUAUGUGACGGGGGCCCUGCUGGUGGUUGAUGGUGGGGCCUGGCUGACAUUCCCUAACGACAUCCAGUCGCUGGCGGACUUCUCAUCCUUCUCUGCUAAGCUCUAGGUGAUGUGCCACUCCCACCUUCAGGGGUCACCUGUGUCCUUGGCCCCCUCCCCAAAAUACCCACCUAGUGGACUGAUGGUCACUGUGCUGGGCCUGAUGCCUUUCUCCUCAGUCUCUUAUGUGUAUUUCUAGAUGUAUUCUCAGGCACUGUUGGGUUCCCCUGCUCCACACGUAGGGCAAGGCUCGAGUCUUCCAGGGCAGAUGGGUGGUGCUGGGAGGGGCCGGCCCCACGGAGCUGCACCGCAGACCUCGGGGCCUCCCUGAAAACCAGAGCCUGUAUGGCUUACCUGAAGAGGCUGGGAACCCUGUCUCUCUUUGGGAGCUCCCCUGGGUGACCCUCUCUGGGGGCCUGAGGGCCUGCUGGGCCCAUGGGGGCGGGGGAAGGUGCCGCUGCUCUCUGCUUCCCCUCCUCCCCCACCAGUCCCAGGGGUAUGGCCAGCCCUUGAGACCUGCUCAUCCUAGUCCUCUGAGCAGCAGCUUCCUUUGAGGAUGGCUGAGGAGAUGUAACCGCCCCGGUUGGGACCUGGCCUCUAAGCCUCCUGGGUCCCCAUCGCAGGGUGGUGGCAGGAACGUUCUAGGACUUUGGCUGGCUCUUGUCCCGUCCUGGGGGCGGGAGUGCUGGAGGGACAUCCAGGAGCUCACAGCGUUCAGUCACACCAUGAAGCUGCAGUUGGCGUGGGCUUCUGUGGAGAACCCCAGUCUCAGAGGCAGGGGACAGUGUGCUGCAGAGGCGCUGGUCCACACCUGCUCUCGGAUCCCUGCGACCUGCCUCCCGCCUGCCCAGCCUGAGCGCCAAACCUGACAAUUCCAAAAAGAGUGUCUGAAGCAGAGACUGGCCUUUCCUCUAGGAACCGUGCUGCAUCCACAUUCCCUCCCCAUGGCCCUGUCUCCCAUGCAUGGGGGGCAGGGACUAGGCAGUGUGGCUGGCCUGCUGACCUGCUCACACACGCCGGGGAGGUCUGGGUUCCAGCGCUUCGAGAGUGUUGAGGCCAGGACGCAGGGGUGUCCCCCUUGCACAACCCAGGGUCAGGGCUGUACCGCCACCCCAGCCCCUGCCUAGGCUGGCCUCCUUUCCCCUCCUGCCUGCAUCCAGUGGGUGUCCUGAGGUGGCUCCCAUGGCCUGGGUAGAGAGAAGGGGGCAUUUCAGGCUAUCUUCUCUUCCUUGCUCUCCCGCUUUGAGACCUUUGCUUGGCAAAGAGAUGCCAAACUAGGGAGGCUGGAGAAGCGUGUUUAAGCCUCUCCACAAGACCUGUGUCCUGGGUCCUAUCCCCGGGGGUGUAGGCUGCAGAAGGGACCUCUGCCGGCCUCCAGUGACAUGGGCAGGGUUGCUCCCCACCUGCCCUGGAGUCUGUCCUUUCCUGGGACAUCCCCAGAGGACUUAGUCCUUGGUCAUUUAAGGGCUCACUUUCUAGGUCCUCCAGGUGGCCUGUCCCCAUUGUCACCAGCACCCUCCCUCAGGCCCAGGGGGUGGGGGAUCUCUGGACCCUCAAUUAUUCCCCAAUGACCACUCUUUGACACACACCCAGGCCAGGACCUAAGGGGGCCACUUGGAUCCUGGGCUUGUUUUCUGUGCUGUUUGUUACAAACUUCAAGGUGCUCAAAGCUGUUGGUCUGCCCUCUGGCUGGACAUGCGGCUUGGGUGCCCCCUUCCUCCCUGCCUCCCACCCUGCCCCCAUCUGUACCGUCCAUUUGCAUAAGCACGGGUCCUAGAGUUUUGCCAGAAAAUGCAUUUACUUAAAAAAUAAUCAUUUUCCUGUGAAAAUAUCUAUUCAUUGGACUUCGCAAAUGUUUUUAGAAGGAGGAGGAGGGCACCUGAACAGAAUCACUGGUGAUCUGGGUAUUUAGUGGUGUGUCUACUUCCUGUCUUUUUUCUGUGAAGAGUUUAGAAAACACUGUUUACCUAAUGCGUGAAGCCCUGGUCCUGAGGCAGGGGGAGCCCACCCUGAGGCGAGGGGAGGCUGUCUGCUCCCCUGGUGGGAGGGGUGUCCUCCACAGCUGGUCCUGGAGGGGGGCGGGGGGCGCUGCCUGCCCUGCAAGCUCCUGGUGCUGCCACUAGAGUCCUGAGCUUGAGCCCUCUGCCCCAGAUAUCCACGCCUACCUGAGUUCCUUCCCGCCUUCAUGGGUGCAGGGGCAUGGCAGGGAGGCCACCGGGCAGAAGGAGCUCCGCUUGCCAUUUAAACAGAGACCAAGGUGUGGUGGCAUCAAGUCUACCAGCAAGGCAGGCAGAUGGGCGCUCGUGAUGCCACGGGAGGAGGAAAGAACCAUGAAGGCAGUUCCUGGGGAGCUGCAACCAUAGACCCCACGUGCCAGAGAGCUGAGGCCUGCCGUCCCUGGAGGAGACAGAGAAGGCCCUGGGGAGGGUGUCCCGCCAGCCACAUUCAAAGGCCUGGGACUCAACAGCAGCGUAGCUCCAGGAGGACAGAAGAGAAUGAAAGGAGUGAGCCUUUUAUUACUGUUAGUCAGGAUUCUCCAGGAAACAGAGCCAGUAGGAUAUAUAUAGAUCUGCAGGAGAUUUAUUAUAGGGACUGGCUCAUGUGACUGUGGGGGCUGAGAAGUCCCAUGAUCUGCCAACUGCAAGCUGGAGACCCGGCAAAGCAGAUGGCGUGAUUCAGUCUGAGCCCGAAGGCCCAAGAACCAGGGGCUCCGACAGCCAAGGGCACCGGAAGGUGGAUGUCCCCGCUCAAGCAGAGAGCGAGGGAACUUGCCCUUUCUCAGCCCACAUUGAUGAAGUCAGGUCUUCCAUCUACUGAAUCAAAUGCUAAUCUCUGAGAAAUACCCAGAGAUACUGAUUUACCAGCUAUCUGGGCACACAUUAGCCCCGUAAAGUUGACACAAAGUUAAACAUCACAGUUGCACACACCAUGAGGUCCGUGCCCUUGCUCAUCGUCUGCAUGUGGUGGUCAGUUUGGCUGUAAGGAAUCUGCCUCGCUGUUUGGCUUAGCCCACCAGCCCCGGCUGUCAUCCUGCAGGUCCAGGACACCUGCUGGGGGCUUGUGGGUCAUGGGCACACCUGGCGCGUGUCACUUGCCAGGUGGGCUCUGGGAAGGGCUGGCAAGGAGGGCCAGGUGCAUGUGGUGAGGGGGUUAACACCGGCCCCAGCAGUGGCACUCGGACUUGGUGGCAGUUGGCAGAGAACUAGGUUGUCCCCUUCCACAUUAACAAUCUCUACAAUUCCCUUAGGAAAUGCCAGGUUCUCUGAAAGGAAGGAUCAUCUUUUAUGUGUGAACCUCAGCUGUGGAAGCUGAUUUACAGACCCUGCCCACUCCGAGUCCCCCUUCCAUGGCAUGAGGAUGCCUCACGUCUUUUCAGAACUACACAUAAAAACAUCACGGGCUGGCUUCUCUGGUGGCACAGUGGUUAAGAAUCCACCUGCCAAUGCAAGGGACAUGGGUUCGAGCCC